GUUAAUCAACCGCUGUGUUUUGAGGAGCGACACACAGAAAAGCCAGUUGCACAAUUGAAUCAUGGGCGACCCGAAGCAUUGCUGCCUCUCGGCUGCAGGUUCUGCCCAAGUUUCUUUGGCGAGAAACGCCUAAGGCUUGCCCUCCUCGACACGUAUAUACGGAGCUUCGAACACAACUGGUUGUUGCAAGGGGCUAACGAACUAACGUUGCAAUCAAGACAACAACAACAAUAAAUGAAGAAGUGAUGAUGACAUGGGACAGCUAUACACGCCACGGCCUAUUCUUCGGCACAAAGUGUAUGUGGGGAAAGAAGAGACACCUCACUAAGCACGUGGGUCUCCAGCGGCUGUACUCAGACUCCAAGAAUUAGAAAGACAUCUGACCCGCAUCAUCACGCAACACUUUCACCAUGAGCUCAUCAAGACGGUCGAGAGCCGGAACAGAAGCAACGCUGUGCAGACCGUACUAACAAGUCAAAAGAAACCUCCCCAAGAAAAGUGCGCACAUUCUGGGGAAAGAACGACCGCCUUACUUCAACAAGCCGAGGUACACACAACGAUCCCAAGAAUACAGAAAAAGUGCGACUGAGGCUACUCAGUGCUGCGAGCCAAAGACAAUCAUAUACUAUACUGAUGGCUCCAGCACAGAGGGAAAAUCGGCAAGUGUCUUUGCCACAGAAUACCCCAACGAAGGGGUACCCAUUUUCCUACGGCACUUCAUUGACCGCAGCCGAAUUAGGGCGGUGGUCCCCGGGGUUGCACGUAGAUGGCGCCACUGAACUACGCCACCGAUCUCACCCUGCAGAACUGUUCGAUCAAUCGCCAUGUAGUCACCAAGCCGGUCUACAUCUCCACCGUUCCCUGCUCAGCGGAACGGAGGCAAUUUACACGUUUAAAGGCGUCGCGACAACACAUGAACUACCUGAAAGAGAAUUGUUGCUGUUAUGUGUGAUACAUAACAAUGCAUAAAAGGACAUGUCGUUGAACACGAACUGCUCAAAGUAGCGUAAAAUUAGUGAAGCUAGACUUAUUAAUAUGGUUUUCCGUUUUCGGCGAUUAUAUUUUCCGAGGUAUUCCGAGGUUAUGUCACGACAUUAUUUAUAAACCAAUUCAAACUUGUAUCACUGUAAUUUGAUCUUGCGCCCAUGUUUUUGCCACGUUUCGGGAGAUCUCAAAAAUUAUAAGCGCCGAAAACGAUCAACCGUAUUGGGAACAAUCCAUGUCCUGCAAGGCGUUGGGAGGUGUAGGAGCGACAAUAUAUCCAAAUCGAGGUUCAGCCAUCCUCAAGAGCAUGUUUACAAUUUACAACAGUGAUGUAACUCUAAAAAUAGUCCUACGGCUUAAAAACUGAAAAGUGAGUUCGUUCAUAACAUGUAAAUUUUGUCUCUCCGCCUUUUCCUCCCAUAUA
Molecule: long non-coding RNA, 1408 nt
Organism: Ornithodoros turicata
Lineage: Eukaryota; Metazoa; Arthropoda; Arachnida; Ixodida; Argasidae
Exons: 5
Source: RefSeq, a predicted model, not a curated record